UGCAGUCGAACGAACUUCCGUUAAUUGAUUAUGACGUACUUGUACUGAUUGAGAUUUUAACACGAAGUGAGUGGCGAACGGGUGAGUAACACGUGGGUAACCUGCCCAGAAGUAGGGGAUAACACCUGGAAACAGAUGCUAAUACCGUAUAACAGAGAAAACCGCAUGGUUUUCUUUUAAAAGAUGGCUCUGCUAUCACUUCUGGAUGGACCCGCGGCGUAUUAGCUAGUUGGUGAGGUAAAGGCUCACCAAGGCAGUGAUACGUAGCCGACCUGAGAGGGUAAUCGGCCACAUUGGGACUGAGACACGGCCCAGACUCCUACGGGAGGCAGCAGUAGGGAAUCUUCCACAAUGGACGCAAGUCUGAUGGAGCAACGCCGCGUGAGUGAAGAAGGGUUUCGGCUCGUAAAGCUCUGUUGUUAAAGAAGAACGUGGGUAAGAGUAACUGUUUACCCAGUGACGGUAUUUAACCAGAAAGCCACGGCUAACUACGUGCCAGCAGCCGCGGUAAUACGUAGGUGGCAAGCGUUAUCCGGAUUUAUUGGGCGUAAAGCGAGCGCAGGCGGUCUUUUAAGUCUAAUGUGAAAGCCUUCGGCUCAACCGAAGAAGUGCAUUGGAAACUGGGAGACUUGAGUGCAGAAGAGGACAGUGGAACUCCAUGUGUAGCGGUGAAAUGCGUAGAUAUAUGGAAGAACACCAGUGGCGAAGGCGGCUGUCUGGUCUGCAACUGACGCUGAGGCUCGAAAGCAUGGGUAGCGAACAGGAUUAGAUACCCUGGUAGUCCAUGCCGUAAACGAUGAUUACUAAGUGUUGGAGGGUUUCCGCCCUUUCAGUGCUGCAGCUAACGCAUUAAGUAAUCCGCCUGGGGAGUACGACCGCAAGGUUGAAACUCAAAAGAAUUGACGGGGGGCCCGCACAAGCGGUGGAGCAUGUGGUUUAAUUCGAAGCUACGCGAAGAACCCUUACCAGGUCUUGACAUCUUCUGACAGUCUAAGAGAUUAGAGGUUCCCUUCGGGGGACAGAAUGACAGGUGGCUGCAUGGAUGUCGUCAGCUCGUGUCGUGAGAUGGUUGGGGAUAAGGUCC
RNAcentral lists this ribosomal RNA (1084 nucleotides) under Pediococcus pentosaceus. RNAcentral's name for it is "bacterial SSU rRNA". It matches the Rfam family "Bacterial small subunit ribosomal RNA", at positions 56 to 1088 of the family's 1533-position model. The record is from RNAcentral. Lineage: Bacteria; Bacillati; Bacillota; Bacilli; Lactobacillales; Lactobacillaceae.